UUGGGAAUCUUGCACAAUGGGGGAAACCCUGAUGCAGCGACGCCGCGUGGAGGAUGACGGAUCUAGGUCUGUAAACUCCUUUUUCAGGGAAAGACUUAGGACGGUACCCUGAGAAUAAGCUCCGGCUAACUACGUGCCAGCAGCCGCGGUAAGACGUAGGGAGCAAGCGUUGUCCGGAUUUACUGGGCGUAAAGGGCGCGUAGGCGGUCUGUUAAGUGAGUACUAAAAUCUCCAGGGCUCAACCCGGAAACCGGUUCUCAUACUGACAGACUUGAGGAAGGCAGAGGUAACUGGAAUUCCUGGUGUAGCGGUGAAAUGCGUUGAUAUCAGGAGGAACUCCAAUGGCGAAGGCAGGUUACUGGGCCUUAUCUGACGCUGAGGCGCGAAAGCGUGGGUAGCAAACAGGAUUAGAUACCCCCGUAGUCCCUGAGCGGGCUGGCAAGGCGCAU
RNAcentral lists this ribosomal RNA (449 nucleotides) under uncultured bacterium. Its description in RNAcentral is "bacterial SSU rRNA". It matches the Rfam family "Bacterial small subunit ribosomal RNA", at positions 355 to 825 of the family's 1533-position model. The record is from RNAcentral.